UACGGGGGGGGUAAGCGUUGUUCGGAAUUACUGGGCGUAAAGGGCUCGUAGGCGGUCAACUAAGUCGGACGUGAAAUCCCUCAGCUUAACUGGGGAACUGCGUCCGAUACUGGAUGGCUUGGAUUUGGGAGAGGGAUGCGGAAUUCCAGGUGUAGCGGUGAAAUGCGCAGAUAUCGGGAAGAACACCUAUGGCGAAGGCAGCUCUCUGGGACGGUACUGACGCUGAGACGCGAAAGCGUGGGGAGCGAACAGG
RNAcentral lists this ribosomal RNA (253 nucleotides) under uncultured bacterium. RNAcentral describes it as "partial 16S ribosomal RNA". It matches the Rfam family "Bacterial small subunit ribosomal RNA", at positions 524 to 776 of the family's 1533-position model. The record is from RNAcentral.